This 300-nucleotide ribosomal RNA is filed under the name uncultured bacterium. RNAcentral's name for it is "bacterial SSU rRNA". It matches the Rfam family "Bacterial small subunit ribosomal RNA", at positions 794 to 1083 of the family's 1533-position model. The record is from RNAcentral.
UCCACGCCGUAAACGAUGCACACUAGGUGCCGGUGUCUCUGACGGUUUCGGCGCCGCAGCAAAAGUGCUAAGUGUGCCGCCUGGGGAGUACGGCCGCAAGGCUAAAACUCAAAGGAAUUGACGGGGGCUCACACAAGCGGUGGAGCAUGUGGCUUAAUUCGAAGCAACGCGAAGAACCUUACCCGGGUUUGACAUGCUUGGAUGCCCUCCGGGGAUAACUCGGUGGGUUGCCCUUCGGGGUGAAACUUGCACAGGUGUUGCACGGCUGUCGUCAGCUCGUGCUGUGAAGUGUCGGGUUAA